RNAcentral lists this ribosomal RNA (468 nucleotides) under uncultured bacterium. Its description in RNAcentral is "partial 16S ribosomal RNA". It matches the Rfam family "Bacterial small subunit ribosomal RNA", at positions 28 to 507 of the family's 1533-position model. The record is from RNAcentral.
GACGAACGCUGGCGGCGUGCUUAACACAUGCAAGUCGAACGGAAACGCCCUGCUUUUGUGCGGUGGUCGAGGUGCGAACGGGUGAGCAACACGUGGGUAACCUGCCCCUGACUGAGGGAUAACUUAAGGCAACUGGGGCUAUUACCGCAUAGGAGCUCCUGCUGCAUGGUGGGGGUUGGAAAGUUUCGGUGGUUGGUGAUGGAAUAGCGGCUUAUGAGCUUGAUGGUGGGGUAGUGGAUUACCAUGGCCAUGACCGGUAGCAGUCCUGAGAGGGUGACCGGCCACAUCGGGACUGAGAUGCGGCACGGACUAGUACGGGAGGCAGGAGUGGGGAAUAUUGCACAAUGGGCGGAGGCAUGAUGCAGCACCGCCGCGUGGGGGAUGACGGGCAUCGGGUUGUAAUCCGCUUUCGCCUGUGCCGAAGCGUGAGUGACAGUACUGGGUAAAGAAGCACCGGCUAACUACGUG